This is an RNA transcript of Grammomys surdaster, 2835 nucleotides long. It is a transcript of the gene named lysine demethylase 8, with no coding region annotated. The record is from RefSeq and is a predicted model, not a curated record. The transcript has 6 exons. Lineage: Eukaryota; Metazoa; Chordata; Mammalia; Rodentia; Muridae.
UCUAGGCUCCCGUCGCGAUCAGCCGAGUCAGAAGUGAUCGAUGCUCAGUGCAGUCCAUGGUAAGGUCAGCACCGAUUCUUCGAAGAAUCUUCGCGCCGACUGAACCAGUAGUCGCAAGCGACGAAAGACACAAGCCUGUUCAAGCGCCAGAGAGGUACUGAUCAUGUCAGAGGACACUACAGAGCACCUGGUGGGGUCCAGCACCCUCUGGACAGACCUCAGGGUUCUCCUGCCUAACACUGAGGAGGAGCUGAAGCUGGACCUCGGUGAGAAGGUGGACAGGAGCAUAGCUUCGUUGCUACAGCAGGCUGUGGGUCUAUUCUAUGCAGGCCAUUGGCAGGAGUGUCUGCAGGCCAGCGAGGCCGUUUUGGACUACUCCUGGGAAAAGCUCAACAUUGGUCCCUGGGAAGAUGUAGACAAGGAAUGGCGCCGAGUUUAUUCCUUUGGCUGCCUCCUGAAGGCCCUGUGCCUGUGCCAGGCAUCACAGAAGGCCAGUGCUGUGACUGAAGCACUACGGGUGUGUGACAUGGGCCUGUUGAUGGGGGCAGCCAUCCUUGAGGACAUUCUUCUCAAAGUUAUUGCAGUCCUCCAGACACACCUGCUCCCUAGGAAGCAGCCUGCCUGUGGCCCCCACCAGGAUCAGCCUGCUACCAAGAAGGCAAAUUGUGAUGCCAGCUCAGCUCCCGAUGUGACGUUAGAGCAGGCAGUGCCCAGGCUUCGCUGCCCACCUCUGCAGUACUUCAAGAAGCACUUUCUAGUUCCUGGGAGGCCUGUGAUCUUGGAAGGUGUGGCUGACCACUGGCCAUGCAUGAAGAAGUGGAGUCUGCAGUACAUCCAGGAGAUCGCUGGCUGCCGCACUGUCCCCGUGGAAGUGGGUUCAAGGUACACAGAUGAAGACUGGACCCAGAUUCUCAUGACAGUCAAUGAGUUCAUCCACAAAUACAUCCUGAGCAAGACAAAGGAUGUCGGGUACCUUGCUCAGCACCAGCUGUUCGACCAGGUGAGUCUGAGACCAUGUUCCUGCCCUGCUCCUCUGCUCCCAGUAAGCACACACGGCUAUCUUCUGGUGUUACCCUUUGGAGCGAGGGAUCCCCCUGAUUACCAAAGGCAGCAGUGGAGCAAAUUGAACUGCCAGGCUGGAGAGAUUGAGUAUGCUGAGACUGGGGGCCCAGUUUGGAUCAGGAUGACCUACCAAAGACUUAAAGGUGCAGCUUGGCUGAACUGGAGUAGGAUUGGGUGGGAGACUAUUUCCAUUAAGAAACUCCCCAGCACCAAAGCUUUAGGAAAGUGUGGAGACCACCAGCCAGGAGGUUACACAAGAGUGGGAGAGCCAGGUGGUAGAGGCCUGAAAUGUCAUACAGGACUCUGGAUUUAAUCAGGAAACGAUGGAGGCCUGUGAGGUCCCUGAUGAGCAAGAAGGCUCCCUGGAGAUCUCCAGCAGUAUAAGAAAUAAAUGCAAGGUUUCUGAACAGAGCAGAUACUGCUGCCUCCUCUCCCAGAGCAGGCCCUUAAGAGCAGAUUACUAGGCCUGCCCCUCCUGGUGUUAGCCCACUGCCACCCAACACAUCAUCUGCAUGUAUGACCAUCAUGUGAGAAAACAGACUCUAUGCAUCAGCAGCUAGACUGCCUUUCCAUGUUGAGCUACCUGUACCUGGGUGUGGUGCACACACCUUGAAUCUAAGCACUUGGGAGGCUGAGCUGCAUAAGGAAUCCUUCCAAGCUGUCUGGUUAAGAUACUGAGACAGUGCAGAGGGCUCAUCCUGGGGAUGGCCCUACCUGCUUAUCUGGAGCCUUGGCCAGGGAUAGAAGGCAAAGCUGCUGUUAUCUUUAGGGUGAGUCAGAAGUGUGUAAGGCUAUUUCAGGCAGAUUAUACUGUCUGUCCCUCAGCACUAGUUUUUCUCUGCUGUUCAGAGCACCUCAAGGAGGAGUUUGAGCAGCCAUGUAUCUUGGGGACUGGACACAGGCUCUUUUCUAGGACCUCUGUGUCUAUAGGAAGCUUAAACUACUGACAGGUGCUUGCCAGGAACCUUACACUGACAUUCCUCCCAGUGUGGUGUCUUGGAAGCCUCUGGCCACUGCCUUGGGCUUGGCAGUAGUCACAUCUCUGGAGCAUGUGUUUUCUGAGGGUCUCUGAAUCCUUAGUCAAGGAUUUUGAUAUACAGCCAACCAAUCACCCUUUACAAUUCCUGAUGACAUCAUCAGGAACCAAUCAGAGUGAUGCUCAGCAUCCAGGAGCAAGGCUUGGUCCCAUUCAAUCAAAGCAGUAAUUUGGUAUGCUCGGAGCCUGGGGUUCUAGCCACAUUGGAGAUUGUGGACUACCCAGUUCUGCUCAAUUGCUAAUAAGACCCUUCCUCACCACUAAUUUGCUCUGAAUGCCCGCUUUAGUCCCCUGGUGGCUAGGAAAUGUACUCAACUUGGUCCUAGGGCUCUCUUUUCUGGCUUCUGAACACUGUUCAAUAAACUCCUUUCUUCUCAGAGUAAGUUUAGUAGGAAGCCUACUUUGCCAGUCUUUGUAAUAAUUUAUUUAAAAUAUACCAGUUGCAAUUUCCUUACUGGUAGUAACUUUUUGAAAAUUAUCCUCCAGAGAUCUGAUAAAUAUCCAGUACAUUGGACUUUUGAGGAUUAUUUGUUUUUGAAAUAAGAUCUCACUGUGUCACCCAUGCUUACAUCCUGGGUCAUGCUUGUCAUACUCCUGUCUCAGCUUGCCAAGUGCUGAAAUUGCAGAUCCCAGAGUUGAAGCAGGACAUCAGCAUCCCGGAUUACUGUUGCCUGGGCAAUGGAGAAGAGGAAGAGAUCACUAUCAAUGCCUGGUUUGGUCCCCAAGGCACCGUCUCC